CCUACGGGUGGCAGCAGUGGGGAAUAUUGGACAAUGGUGGGAACCCUGAACCAGCGACGCCGCGUGAGUGAAGAAGUUUUUCGGUAUGUAAAGCUCUAUCAGCAGGGGAGAAAAUGCCGGUACCUGACUAAGAAGCCACGGCUAACUACGUGCCAGCAGCCGCGGUAAUACGUCGGGGGCAAGCGUUAUCCGGAUUUACUGGGUGUAAAGGGAGCGUAGACGGUGCAGCAAGUCUGAUGUGAAAGGUCGGGGCCCAACCCCGGGACUGCAGUUGAAACUGUUGAACUGGAGUACAGGAGAGGUAAGCGGAAUGCGUAGUGUAGCGGUGAAAUGCGUAGAUAUUAGGAGGAACACCAGUUGCGAAGGCGGCUUACUGGACUCUAACUGACGUUGAGGCACGAAAGCGUGGGGAGCAAACAGGAUUAGAUACCCCUGUAGUC
RNAcentral lists this ribosomal RNA (440 nucleotides) under uncultured bacterium. RNAcentral describes it as "partial 16S ribosomal RNA". It matches the Rfam family "Bacterial small subunit ribosomal RNA", at positions 338 to 795 of the family's 1533-position model. The record is from RNAcentral.